GUCGAUGGCCAUACCACCCUGAACAAGCCUGAUCUUAUCUGAUCUCAGAAGCUAAGCAGGGCUCAUCCUCGUUAUUACUUGUGUGGGAGACAAAGGGGAAUAGUUAGUGAGCAGAGUUU
This 119-nucleotide ribosomal RNA is filed under the name Meriones unguiculatus (Mongolian gerbil). The record is from RNAcentral. Lineage: Eukaryota; Metazoa; Chordata; Mammalia; Rodentia; Muridae.